RNAcentral lists this transfer RNA (21 nucleotides) under Carinascincus ocellatus. Its description in RNAcentral is "partial tRNA-Leu". Lineage: Eukaryota; Metazoa; Chordata; Lepidosauria; Squamata; Scincidae. The record is from RNAcentral.
CUUUUAAAGGAUAGAAGCCUA